Molecule: long non-coding RNA, 446 nt
Organism: Chinchilla lanigera (long-tailed chinchilla)
Lineage: Eukaryota; Metazoa; Chordata; Mammalia; Rodentia; Chinchillidae
Exons: 3
Source: RefSeq, a predicted model, not a curated record
CACCUCAUCUGUGUGGCCAACUGUGGACCUGCAGACAACAUCGGAACACAAGAUUCCAGGACAAGUCUCAUGUGAAGACAAAGGAAAUACCCAGAUUGUAAAUAGGCUCUCUGCGCCCUCUGCAAUCAGCCCAGCUUCCUCUAUUAUGGACAGAUCUGUGCACCCAGAUAUGCCCAGGACUUCUCACUGACCUCUGCUAUGGACAUUCCUCUGAGACAACUGAGCAGUUUUUCAUGGUGACCCUCAGAUGACACAGCGGAGUCCACGGACAGGACCCACUUUAGUGGGGACCGCCUGAACCACUGCGUCAAGAAAGGUGAAAAAACUGCAUGAGAACUCUGUAACUGACUGGUGAUACUUGCAACGGAGACAUCUGCCAUCUUCACAUUUGUCAAGAGUUCUGAGAAGGCAGAGAUAGUGUUUUAUUCAGCUUUAGAAAUCUAAUU